GCCCCGAAGGAUUUCUAAGCCACGCCCACACCUGGCCGCUUGCCUUCUGCCAGGACCAGGCUUCCAGGGACCCCUUUCUGCCAACUCCUCGCAAGGGCCCAGGCAAGUGUCCUCCUGGGGGGAGGGGGAGAGGGAUGCAAGAUUCAGGGUGCCGCCUGCCUCUUCCAUCCGGUCUGUUCCCAUGGCAACCCUGGCCUGUGAAGCCCCGUUGUUGCCUCUGCACCAAACGUUGGAGAUGACACUUGGCCAGCCUUGCGGCUGCUCCUCCUGGCCCAUCUCUCCGAGGCAUGCGAUUGUCCUGCCUCCCCUUGGAAUACGUCGGACACAUUUGAACAGAAUCGCUUCCAACAGCGAGGUCCUCAAAGCCAGCACCAAGGCACAAAGGCACCCCGCCCUCCCCUUCAAAGCUACACACAGGGUCUCUUUGCAGAAAAGGCUCCAAGCUCCCUUCAAGAUCAGACGUGCUCCUGGGACCCCGCCUGCCCCGGCAGGACAGAUUGCCUUGGCGAGUUGAUCAGAUUCUAAUUAGCGCUAAUUAGUGCCCAGCAUCUGUGAGAGGAGGCGCUGGUAGCCAAGCCGGCCUCUGGUUCCGAACAUCAAAGGGAACUGAACAUCAGCCGGUGCCCGCUGAAAUGCCCGGGCAUUUCCUGCUCCUUCCAGCUGGGCACCCCUGGACUGGUGGCAUCCGCCGGAUGGGCUGUGGGCGGCGGGGGAGGCCUGGGGAGGGGCAGCCUCCCCACAGAUGCGACGCAACCACCGCCCGGCUUCCCCAAGGGCGCUGGGUGCCGGGCCCAACGUGCCUACUUCCCAGAGUGGGUGAGAGCAGCAAGGGUCUGCCGAACUGCAGUGAGCCUGGCGGGGGGGCGGAGGGCGUGAUCAGAGCCCCGACACUCGGACUUCAGCUGCAUGGUCUUCCCAGGACUUCAGGUCUGGAUGGACUUUGCCUCCUCCUAGGGUUAGAGGGGACUCUUGAGAGGAAAAAAAAGGCUGGUUCGAUUUCU
Odocoileus virginianus texanus is the source of this 1001-nucleotide non-coding RNA. NCBI's taxonomy places the organism in Eukaryota, Metazoa, Chordata, Mammalia, Artiodactyla, Cervidae. The record is from RefSeq and is a predicted model, not a curated record.